RNAcentral lists this ribosomal RNA (403 nucleotides) under uncultured Eubacteriales bacterium. RNAcentral describes it as "uncultured Clostridiales bacterium partial 16S ribosomal RNA". It matches the Rfam family "Bacterial small subunit ribosomal RNA", at positions 355 to 774 of the family's 1533-position model. The record is from RNAcentral. Lineage: Bacteria; Bacillati; Bacillota; Clostridia; Eubacteriales.
UGGGGAAUAUUGCACAAUGGGGGAAACCCUGAUGCAGCAACGCCGCGUGAAGGAAGAAGGAUUUCGGUUCGUAAACUUUUGUCUUCGCAGACGAGAACGGACGGUAUGCGAGGAGGAAGCCACGGCUAACUACGUGCCAGCAGCCGCGGUAAUACGUAGGUGGCAAGCGUUGUCCGGAUUUACUGGGUGUAAAGGGCGUGUAGGCGGGCCUGCAAGUCAGAUGUGAAAACUAUGGGCUUAACCCAUAGACUGCAUUUGAAACUGUAGGUCUUGAGUAUCGGAGAGGAAAGCGGAAUUCCUAGUGUAGCGGUGAAAUGCGUAGAUAUUAGGAGGAACACCGGUGGCGAAGGCGGCUUUCUGGACGAAAACUGACGCUGAGGCGCGAAAGCGUGGGGAGCAAACA